Caerostris extrusa is the source of this 102-nucleotide non-coding RNA. The record is from the annotation of a GenBank genome assembly. Lineage: Eukaryota; Metazoa; Arthropoda; Arachnida; Araneae; Araneidae.
ACGGCCAUACCAUGCUGAAUAUACCGGUUCUCGUUAGAUCACCGAAGUCAAGCAUCAUUUCUGUACCCAGGUGGGUGACCACCUGGGACACCGCGUGCCGUU